AGGAGCCGUAUGCCCAAAUCGGGCACGUACGGAUCUGUGCGGGGGGCGGAGAGCAAUCUCCGUCCCUACCGCGAU
This 75-nucleotide unclassified non-coding RNA is filed under the name Variovorax sp. HW608. Lineage: Bacteria; Pseudomonadati; Pseudomonadota; Betaproteobacteria; Burkholderiales; Comamonadaceae. The record is from RNAcentral.